This is a small nucleolar RNA of Vicia villosa (hairy vetch), 106 nucleotides long. The record is from RefSeq and is a predicted model, not a curated record. Lineage: Eukaryota; Viridiplantae; Streptophyta; Magnoliopsida; Fabales; Fabaceae.
GAACAUGGUGCGGACAUGCUCUUAAAAGGUCUUUAUAUCUCUCCCAGGCUUCAAAAAGUGAUUCACCUUGGUUUUUAACGAACCUAGUGAUCCAGUUCUUAAGGAC